This 863-nucleotide ribosomal RNA is filed under the name Magnaporthiopsis poae. RNAcentral describes it as "LSU rRNA". It matches the Rfam family "Eukaryotic large subunit ribosomal RNA", at positions 68 to 961 of the family's 3401-position model. Lineage: Eukaryota; Fungi; Ascomycota; Sordariomycetes; Magnaporthales; Magnaporthaceae. The record is from RNAcentral.
ACAGGGAUUGCCCCAGUAACGGCGAGUGAAGCGGCAACAGCUCAAAUUUGAAAUCUGGCCCCGGGCCCGAGUUGUAAUUUGCAGAGGAUGCUUUUGGUGACGCGCCUACCGAGUCCCCUGGAACGGGGCGCCACAGAGGGUGAGAGCCCCGUAUGGUUUGACGCCGAGCCUCUGUAAAGCUCCUUCGACGAGUCGAGUAGUUUGGGAAUGCUGCUCUAAAUGGGAGGUAAAUUUCUUCUAAAGCUAAAUACCGGCCAGAGACCGAUAGCGCACAAGUAGAGUGAUCGAAAGAUGAAAAGCACUUUGAAAAGAGGGUUAAAUAGCACGUGAAAUUGUUGAAAGGGAAGCGCUCGUGACCAGACUUGCGCCGGGCGGAUCAUCCAGCGUUCUCGCUGGUGCACUCCGCCCGGCUCAGGCCAGCAUCGGUUUUCGCCGGGGGACAAAAGCACCGGGAAUGUGGCUCCCCUCGGGGAGUGUUAUAGCCCGGGGCGCAAUACCCCGGCGGGGACCGAGGACCGCGCUUCGGCAAGGAUGCUGGCGUAAUGGUCAUCAGCGACCCGUCUUGAAACACGGACCGAGGAGUCAAGCAUUAGUGCGAGUGUUUGGGUGUAAAACCCGCACGCGUAAUGAAAGUGAACGUAGGUGAGAGCUUCGGCGCAUCAUCGACCGAUCCUGAUGUUUUCGGAUGGAUUUGAGUAGGAGCAUUAACGCUUGGACCCGAAAGAUGGUGAACUAUACUUGAAUAGGGUGAAGCCAGAGGAAACUCUGGUGGAGGCUCGCAGCGGUUCUGACGUGCAAAUCGAUCGUCAAAUUUGAGUAUAGGGGCGAAAGACUAAUCGAACCAUCUAGUAGCUGGUUACCGC